This is a long non-coding RNA of Ictalurus punctatus (channel catfish), 2245 nucleotides long. RefSeq lists it as uncharacterized. The record is from RefSeq and is a predicted model, not a curated record. The transcript is spliced from 3 exons. NCBI's taxonomy places the organism in Eukaryota, Metazoa, Chordata, Actinopteri, Siluriformes, Ictaluridae.
CAGUCAUGAACGCAUCUGUAUAUGUUGGCAGGUGAUUGGGGUGUGAUUUUCUAUACAAAACUGGAACUAUCACUGGAAAGCUGCUUGCUCUCUGGCGAGUGCAGGAACCUGAAUAACAACCAUCUGAACGAGACACUAAACGGACCUUUGGUUUCCUUUUCCCUGAGCUAUCUACCUAGUCUUGAGCAUGUAUGGGUUGAGGGGAGUCUGGAACCUAUGCCAGGGAAUUUGUGACACCCUGGGUGACACCCUGGAUGGAGUACCAACCCAUCACAUAGCACAUGCACAGACACUAUGGACAAUUUGGAAACACCAAUCAGACUACGACACGUGUCUUUGGAAUGGGGGAGGAACGAAGUACACAGAGGAAAUCCCCUGAAGCACCGGGAGACCAUGCAAACUCACUUCACACAGGAGAAUUAUGGAGUUGGAGGAUAAUCAGACACCGCAAGAAUUCAUUUAUGCAGACGAGGCAGGGUUUAACCUGGGAAAAACAUGUAGAUGAAGACAAAACAUAAUUGGGAAAAUGGCCACCGUUGAUGUGCCGGGUCAGAGAAGAGCAAAUAGCAUGAUGUGUGUUGCAAUCUCAAGUGCUGGUUUGGAUAUACCAGGGCUUUUUAUAAUAUUUAAUCAAAAAUCUGGUACAUGAAUAACUUUAGCAUACACAAACCAUAAUGCUUUACCAAUUUGACAACAGACUACAUCUGAGAGAUGAGCAACGGCAGCCCUAAUCUAUUUAGUGCCCUAGGAAAAAUUUUCCAUUGGUGCCAAUUGGUAGAAAUUACUGGGAAUGCAUAAAAUUUAGUACAUGUUAAAUAGCCCUUUUUAGAACCCUUUCUUGAUUUAGAUAUUUUUCUGUGUCCUUCACAUAUUCUUGCACACAUUUUAUUUGCACUUACAUUGUGAAGCAUUUUGUUGCAGGAGGAUUGUUAGACUCAUCAACAGUGGUAGGUAGUUUCCGGUAAAACCACCACAUUCAAUGUCACAAUGGCAACAGUUGAGUAAAGGCAUGUAUCCUGCAAAGAAAUUUCCUUUCAUCUCAGGCAACCUUUUUUUUUUUUUUUUUUGGUACUUUUGUUAUUGCAGUGAACACUACCUUGUAUCAUCUACAAAAAUAUAUACUCACUCACACACACACACACACACACACACACACACACACACACACACACACACACACACACACACACACACACACGGUUUUUACUAAAACAGUAUUAGUGUUUAGGAUCUGCCAUUCUGUGACCGUCAUAACACUCAAUUUCAGAUCAUUCAGAUUAUAUCAGGGUUUUUUGUUUUUUUUUAAAUAUAGAUAAUCUGUUCAGUUAUAGCUGAAAGUGGGACACUGAAUGCAAGGGUUUAAAAAAAAACAUACCUUUACUGUUAUGAAACAUUAACGUUGAGCAGGGUCUUUGCUAUCAUCCCUCUUCUGAUUAACAAGCACAGCUCUUUUAUUCACACCCCAUAACACUUUCAGAUCUUUCUUUUGUUCCAUUGCGCAAUACUCGGAUUGCGCAAUGUAUGAAAUGAAUUGAAAAAAAUGAAUGAUCAAAAAAGUAAUCCAUCUCUUUCUUGUUUAUUUCACAUAUUGUAUUUCACAUUUUGCUGAUUUUACUGCUAUGGAUAUUGGACAUUAUAAACAGCACCAAUUGAGAGCAAAAACAAAGAAAUUAACUAACCAACAAACUUUUAAAAUAUAUAUAUAUAUUUUUUUUUUUUAAAUGACAAGACAAAACUAAAAAAUAAGAAAAUAAAAGCAAAAUAAUGCAACCAUAAAGCAACAACUACACAAGAAAAAAUAAAACAAAUAAUACACAAAUAAAACCAGAUAAAAAACAAACAAACAGGAAAAUACAAAAUAAAAUAAACAAAACAAAUAAAACAAGAUGACUAAACAAAAUAAACAAAACAACCAAAACAAAAUGAAACAACACAUUUGUGAACUAAGCUUUUCUCCCAUUAUACACUAUAAUCCAUUCUUGGGGUUUUCAGACUCUCAGUCUCUUCAGAAAGUCUGAAAAACUCACUUUAUAACAACAUACUCUAGCACAGACAAAUAAUUGUCUUGUUGACAAUUAUUUAGUAUAUUUUAUUUUGUAUUUUCUAUUCCGUUCUUUGUUUUUUAAUGUUCUAUUUAUGCUUAUUCAUUUCCAUUUUACACAUACUUGUUUAAAUAUGCAUAUUGUGUGCCUUAUACUGUUGCAUGUUAGCAGUUUACCCCAGACUUUCCACAAGCAUCUCAGUG